Molecule: ribosomal RNA, 467 nt
Filed under: uncultured bacterium
Lineage: Bacteria
Description: partial 16S ribosomal RNA
Rfam family: Bacterial small subunit ribosomal RNA
Source: RNAcentral
GACGAACGCUGGCGGCGUGCUUAACACAUGCAAGUCGAACGGAAAGGCCCUGCUUUUGUGGGGUGCUCGAGUGGCGAACGGGUGAGUAACACGUGAGUAACCUGCCCUUGACUUUGGGAUAACUUCAGGAAACUGGGGCUAAUACCGGAUAGGAGCUCCUGCUGCAUGGUGGGGGUUGGAAAGUUUCGGCGGUUGGGGAUGGACUCGCGGCUUAUCAGCUUGUUGGUGGGGUAGUGGCUUACCAAGGCUUUGACGGGUAGCCGGCCUGAGAGGGUGACCGGCCACAUUGGGACUGAGAUACGGCCCAGACUCCUACGGGAGGCAGCAGUGGGGAAGAUUGCACAAUGGGCGGAAGCCUGAUGCAGCAACGCCGCGUGCGGGAUGACGGCCUUCGGGUAGUAAACCGCUUUCGCCUGUGACGAAGCGUGAGUGACGGUAAUGGGGAAAGAAGCACCGGCUAACUACGU